AGUGAACGCUGGCGGUAGGCCUAACACAUGCAAGUCGAACGGCAGCACAGUAAGAGCUUGCUCUUACGGGUGGCGAGUGGCGGACGGGUGAGGAAUACAUCGGAAUCUACUUUUUCGUGGGGGAUAACGUAGGGAAACUUACUCUAAUACCGCAUACGACCUACGGGUGAAAGCAGGGGAUCUUCGGACCUUGCGCGAUUGAAUGAGCCGAUGUCGGAUUAGCUAGUUGGCGGGGUAAAGGCCCACCAAGGCGACGAUCCGUAGCUGGUCUGAGAGGAUGAUCAGCCACACUGGAACUGAGAAACGGUCCAGACUCCUACGGGAGGCAGCAGUGGGGAAUAUUGGACAAUGGGCGCAAGCCUGAUCCAGCCAUACCGCGUGGGUGAAGAAGGCCUUCGGGUUGUAAAGCCCUUUUGUUGGGAAAGAAAAGCAGCAGGUUAAUACCCCGCUGUUCUGACGGUACCCAAAGAAUAAGCACCGGCUAACUUCGUG
This 492-nucleotide ribosomal RNA is filed under the name uncultured bacterium. Its description in RNAcentral is "partial 16S ribosomal RNA". It matches the Rfam family "Bacterial small subunit ribosomal RNA", at positions 29 to 507 of the family's 1533-position model. The record is from RNAcentral.